GAUGAACGCUGGCGGCGUGCCUAAUACAUGCAAGUAGAACGCUGAAGGAGGAGCUUGCUCUUCUGGAUGAGUUGCGAACGGGUGAGUAACGCGUAGGUAACCUGCCUGGUAGCGGGGGAUAACUAUUGGAAACGAUAGCUAAUACCGCAUGACAACAGUUAUUGCAUGAUAACUGUUUAAAAGGGGCAACUGCUCCACUACCAGAUGGACCUGCGUUGUAUUAGCUAGUUGGUGAGGUAACGGCUCACCAAGGCGACGAUACAUAGCCGACCUGAGAGGGUGAUCGGCCACACUGGGACUGAGACACGGCCCAGACUCCUACGGGAGGCAGCAGUAGGGAAUCUUCGGCAAUGGACGGAAGUCUGACCGAGCAAAGCCGCGUGAGUGAAGAAGGGUUUCGGAUCGUAAAGCUCGGUUGUAAGAGAAGAACGAGUGUGAGAGUGGAAAGUUCACACUGUGACGGUAUCUUACCAGGAAGGGACGGUUAACUACGUG
Molecule: ribosomal RNA, 495 nt
Filed under: uncultured bacterium
Lineage: Bacteria
Description: partial 16S ribosomal RNA
Rfam family: Bacterial small subunit ribosomal RNA
Source: RNAcentral